Oncorhynchus keta (chum salmon) is the source of this 1447-nucleotide long non-coding RNA. RefSeq lists it as uncharacterized. The record is from RefSeq and is a predicted model, not a curated record. Lineage: Eukaryota; Metazoa; Chordata; Actinopteri; Salmoniformes; Salmonidae. The transcript is spliced from 4 exons.
CACUCACUAGGGGUCAGUACUCACUCUAUAGACAGCCUCCAUCACUCACUAGGUGUCAGAACUCACUUUAUAGACAGCCUCCGUCACUCACUAGGUGUCAGAACUCACUUUAUAGACAGCCUCCGUCACUCACUAGGGGUCAGAACUCACUCUAUAGACAGCCUCCAUCACUCACUAGGUGUCAGAACUCACUUUAUAGACAGCCUCCAUCACUAGGUGUCAGUACUCACUCUAUAGACAGCCUCCAUCACUAGGUGUCAGUACUCACUCUAUAGACAGCCUCCAUCACUAGGUGUCAGUACUCACUCUAUAGACAGCCUCCAUCACUAGGGGUCAGUACUCACUCUAUAGACAGCCUCCAUCACUAGGGGUCAGUACUCACUCUAUAGACAGCCUCCAUCACUAGGGGUCAGUACUCACUCUAUAGACAGCCUCCAUCACUAGGGGUCAGUACUCACUCUAUAGACAGCCUCCAUCACUAGGGUCAGUACUCACUUUAUAGACAGCCUCCGUCACUCACUAGGGGUCAGUACCCACUCUAUAGACAGCCUCUGUUACUCACUAGGUGUCAGAACUCACUUUAUAGACAGCCUCUGUCAUUCAAUAGGGUCAGUACUCACUCUAUAGACAGCCUCCAUCACUAGGUGUCAGUACUCACUCUAUAGACAGCCUCCGUCACUCACUAGGUGUCAGAACUCACUUUAUAGACAGCCUCCGUCACUCACUAGGGGUCAGAACUCACUCUAUAGACAGCCUCCAUCACUCACUAGGUGUCAGAACUCACUUUAUAGACAGCCUCCGUCACUCACUAGGUGUCAGAACUCACUUUAUAGACAGCCUCCAUCACUAGGUGUCAGUACUCACUUUAUAGACAGCCUCCAUCACUAGGUGUCAGUACUCACUCUAUAGACAGCCUCCAUCACUAGGUGUCAGAACUCACUCUAUAGACAGCCUCCAUCACUAGGUGUCAGUACUCACUCUAUAGACAGCCUCCGUCACUCACUAGGUGUCAGAACUCACUUUAUAGACAGCCUCCGUCACUCACUAGGGGUCAGAACUCACUCUAUAGACAGCCUCCAUCACUCACUAGGUGUCAGAACUCACUUUAUAGACAGCCUCCAUCACUAGGUGUCAGUACUCACUUUAUAGACAUCCUCCAUCACUAGGUGUCAGUACUCACUCUAUAGACAGCCUCCAUCACUAGGUGUCAGAACUCACUUUAUAGACACCCUCCAUCACUAGGUGUCAGUACUCACUCUAUAGACAGCCUCCAUCACUCACUAGGUGUCAGAACUCACUUUAUAGACAGCCUCCGUCACUCACUAGGUGUCAGAACUCACUUUAUAGACAGCCUCCAUCACUAGGUGUCAGUACUCACUUUAUAGACAGCCUCCAUCACUAGGUGUCAGUACUCACUCUAUAGACAGCCUCCAUCACUAGGUGUCAG